AUGCACCAGUGCAGAAAGAGGAGUGGAGAGAAGCUGGCUCGAGAGGGUGGAUGUCUUUACAAGGAGGUCUCUACAAAUGGCAGGCCUAACUCACUCUUGCACUCAGCCAGCAGACACGAUUGCUUCAAGCAUUUGGUCAUGAGUUGGGGAAACUUCCUUGAACAAUAGAGAAGCACUGCGAUGCUUGGCCAGUGUUAUUCUGGGACAUCAUUGCUUCCAUUACUGAGCUUCUGAAUGGUGGUUAUGUCCCUCUUCCUAGAGCCUUCUCCAUGGUAUUGGUAAGUAAAGUGAUGCCAUGACCCUGACAAGGGACACAGGUGGGCUUUUCAAUCUGAUAAACUAGACAUCACUCUGGCAUAACCACAUUCUCGAGUUUUUUGUUCUCUUCCCCUACAACCUACACUGCCAGUACUGGUAUGUCUAAUUUAUUUAAUGUUGACCUUUGCAUUUUGAAGAUUCAGGUUUAUUGAGGUAUAAUUUACAUGUACUAAAAUAUGCCUAUUUAAGGUAUUUAUUUCUAUAAAUUUUGACAGUUAUAGUUGUGUAAUCACCAACACAAUCAGAUGUAGAACACUGUCAUCACUUCCAAAAAGUUCCAUUAAUUCGUAGAUUGCAUAGAAUUUAUAUCAUAGAUUGUAACUGAAUUUUAAUUUAUACAUUUAAAGUUCUUUUUAAAAAUUUUUGGUAGUUUUGACAGGAGGAAAAAGGUUGCUGGAUUUCAUUUGUUAAAUAAAUCUUUUAUUUGUAUAAGAAACCCA
Molecule: long non-coding RNA, 758 nt
Filed under: Oryctolagus cuniculus (rabbit)
Lineage: Eukaryota; Metazoa; Chordata; Mammalia; Lagomorpha; Leporidae
Description: lncRNA (ENSOCUG00000032522.1)
Source: RNAcentral